Molecule: ribosomal RNA, 301 nt
Filed under: uncultured bacterium
Lineage: Bacteria
Description: partial 16S ribosomal RNA
Rfam family: Bacterial small subunit ribosomal RNA
Source: RNAcentral
CAGUAGCGCGGUAAUACGUAGGGUGCAAGCGUUAAUCGGAAUUACUGGGCGUAAAGCGUGCGCAGGCGGUUCGGAAAGAAAGAUGUGAAAUCCCAGGGCUCAACCUUGGAACUGCAUUUUUAACUACCGGACUAGAGUAUGUCAGAGGGAGGUGGAAUUCCACGUGUAGCAGUGAAAUGCGUAGAUAUGUGGAGGAACACCGAUGGCGAAGGCAGCCUCCUGGGAUAAUACUGACGCUCAUGCACGAAAGCGUGGGGAGCAAACAGGAUUAGAUACCCGGGUAGUCCCUGUCUCUUAUACA